UACGUAGGGACCAAGCGUUGUUCGGAUUCACUGGGUGUAAAGGGCUCGUAGGCGGCCAACUAAGUCAGACGUGAAAUCCCCAGGCUCAACCUGGGAACUGCGUCUGAUACUGAUUGGCUUGAAUCCGGGAGAGGGAUGCAGAAUUCCAGGUGUAGCGGUGAAAUGCGUAGAUAUCUGGAGGAAUACCGGUGGCGAAGGCGGCAUCCUGGACCGGCAUUGACGCUGAGGAGCGAAAGCCAGGGGAGCAAACGGG
RNAcentral lists this ribosomal RNA (253 nucleotides) under uncultured bacterium. RNAcentral's name for it is "partial 16S ribosomal RNA". It matches the Rfam family "Bacterial small subunit ribosomal RNA", at positions 524 to 776 of the family's 1533-position model. The record is from RNAcentral.